RNAcentral lists this unclassified non-coding RNA (549 nucleotides) under Hevea brasiliensis (rubber tree). Lineage: Eukaryota; Viridiplantae; Streptophyta; Magnoliopsida; Malpighiales; Euphorbiaceae. The record is from RNAcentral.
AUUAGACCGGUAUGUAUUUUUAGUUAAUGCUGAUCAAAUGAUUGAUGAAUCAUUGAGGUGUUCCUUGUGCUUUAUUUAAUUUUUGAAAUCAAUUCAAGGAGCUUCUAUGUUCCUCAAGUAACUAUUAGAAAAAGUUAAAGAAAGUGGUACAAUCAUAGGGCAUUAUGAGUAGAAGUAACCUUAAAACAAAUAGCAAUAAAUAAAGCAAUUAUAAAAAUAAAAAAAUGAAAAAAAGAAGUUGAAGUAGGAUAAGUAUGGAAAUGUAAUUGUUCUACCAAAAAGUAAUAUAUAAAAGAAGUUCCAACCUGUUAACAACCAUUUUUUUGCUUUGUUUUAAAUUGUAUUUGUUCUGAGUUGGAAUGCUGUUUUCUCCAUCCUUUGAUACUGUUUUGUUGUAGCCUUAACAAAAAUUCAUGUCAAAACAACUCCUUUAGUAGGUGUGUGAAAUUUUCUCUAACUAUAGAGUGCUGAAAACUGUCGGCAUGGUUAAGUUGUUUGAGCUGGGGGUUGCCUUCAUCAAAAUAGCUUAAGCUAAUUUGACUUGGCUCU